AGAGUUUGAUCCUGGCUCAGGAUGAACGCUGGCGGCGUGCCUAACACAUGCAAGUCGAACGAAGCACCUUACCUGAUUCUUCGGAUGAAGGUCUGGUGACUGAGUGGCGGACGGGUGAGUAACGCGUGGGUAACCUGCCCUGUACAGGGGGAUAACAGUUGGAAACGGCUGCUAAUACCGCAUAAGCGCACGAGAGGACAUCCUCUUGUGUGAAAAACUCCGGUGGUACAGGAUGGGCCCGCGUCUGAUUAGCUGGUUGGCAGGGUAACGGCCUACCAAGGCGACGAUCAGUAGCCGGUCUGAGAGGAUGAACGGCCACAUUGGAACUGAGACACGGUCCAAACUCCUACGGGAGGCAGCAGUGGGGAAUAUUGCACAAUGGGGGAAACCCUGAUGCAGCAACGCCGCGUGAGUGAAGAAGUAUUUCGGUAUGUAAAGCUCUAUCAGCAGGGAAGAUAAUGACGGUACCUGACUAAGAAGCUCCGGCUAAAUACGUGCCAGCAGCCGCGGUAAUACGUAUGGAGCAAGCGUUAUCCGGAUUUACUGGGUGUAAAGGGAGCGCAGGCGGUGCGGCAAGUCAGAUGUGAAAACCCGGGGCUCAACCCCGGGAUUGCAUUUGAAACUGUCGGACUAGAGUGCCGGAGAGGUAAGUGGAAUUCCUAGUGUAGCGGUGAAAUGCGUAGAUAUUAGGAGGAACACCAGUGGCGAAGGCGGCUUACUGGACGGUAACUGACGCUGAGGCUCGAAAGCGUGGGGAGCAAAACAGGAUUAGAUACCCUGGUAGUCCACGCCGUAAACGAUGA
Molecule: ribosomal RNA, 803 nt
Filed under: uncultured bacterium
Lineage: Bacteria
Description: bacterial SSU rRNA
Rfam family: Bacterial small subunit ribosomal RNA
Source: RNAcentral